CCAUAACUCAUGAACUUCAUUUUCUGUGUGUGCAUUCAUUUAUGGCUUGUGUUGUUCAUGUAUACUCUUUUCUUUCAUCAUGCUACCCUAAAAAUGAAACCUUUUGUCAAUUGCAAGUGCUAAUGUAAAGUUUCUGAUAGGCAUGUGCUAAAAGGAUUCAAGGUGAUGAAAGUGGGCACAAGCACUGUACUGGACAAUACUUCGAUUAUUGGCAAUGCGUUGACAAAUGUGUAAGCCCAUCUUUCCUGUUUACAUUUAUUCAUCUGCUGCCUCUGUUUCGGGUAUAUUUCAACUGUAUAUUAAUAUUUUGUCUGUUUUGCUGCUGACAUUGGUUUUUAAUGCACAGGUUGCAACAAAGCUGUUUACUCAUCUUAAGUAACUGGGCAAGACCUCAUUGUUAUGCUGGCACCAGAUAAAGCUCUUUUGUUCAAAACUAGUUCAGUAUUAUUCUAUUUUUGUGAAAACCAUUGAUGCUUGUAUGCCGCUACUUAGCUAAAUGGAACGUUGAACUAUGCGCCCUGCAUUGCGAUCAAUAAAAGGAAAACCGUGGGAUUGAAUUCAUUUGCUUUUGCAAUUAUUUAUGUUGCUUUCGUUUAACAAUUUACCGUUUAGUGUUUUGGAAAAUUAUUUGUUAACCUCAUUUGUAGACUCUUCUGAGAUUUUCCUUUGUUUUCUCUCUUU
This 681-nucleotide long non-coding RNA is filed under the name Olea europaea subsp. europaea. Lineage: Eukaryota; Viridiplantae; Streptophyta; Magnoliopsida; Lamiales; Oleaceae. The record is from RNAcentral.